UCCUGUUUUCCAGAGUGGCUGCACCAGCUUUAUAUUCCCCAUGUCCUUAUUUUAGAGAUGAGGAAACAAGUCCCAGGGUCACUUAGUUUAGCAGCAGAAUCAUAAUGUGGCGAUCAGACCUCUGUUUUUUCUUUUACCCUAAGUGGAGACAUGUACCAAUAGAAUGCGUGUCAUCAGGAAGAUAAUAAAUGAAAAUACUUGAGUCUUUUAAUUAAGUCUUUCUGAAGAUUUCUAAUUGAUGUAGGCUCUCUGCCAGGCCCUAGAUUAGGACUGCAUAUUCUUCCCCUAUUCAUUGAGAGUUCCCAUAGCACUUUGUCCCAGAGUAGAACUGAACCAAAGGGAUCUUAGAUUUCUCCUUGCUCAUCCAGCCCAGCCCGUUGAUGCAUUGUGAUGCCAGGUGCUGUGCUAAACAUGUUUCUCAUGAAGUCAGACUUAGGAUGAGUAUGGCCCUGCCUCUUAUUAGGUUACUUCAGCUCUCUGUUUCAGUUUCUUAAUCUAUAAAAUAAUAACUACAUUAUAGAAUUGUAUUGAGGAUGAAAUGAGUCAAUGUACACAGAACAUUUAGCAGAAUGCCUGGCAACUAGUAAAUGCUCAAAAUACUAACUUGUAUUGCAAAUAAAUUGAGAGGUCAAUUUUUCUUCUACAUUUUCUCCUUAUUUGUAGGAAAAAAGACUGACAUAUUUAGACUCUAGAUUGUAUGUGUUUAUUUAUGUCUAUCUCUAAGUCCACCUGUGCUGGUUAAAUGAUAAUCAUGGCCAGGUCAUGCCCAGGCAUCAAAAAGUUAACUUCAUUUGCUCACUGUCCUACAAAUAGAAUGUUUGGGAAUGAUAGCUAGUACCACCCAGCAGUGAGGACCCUGAUCUUUUAUUAUAAGCCUCUUUAGCCUAAAAUCCUUUAAUGGUUCCUGUAGUCUUUGGGAUACAAAUCUGAUUUGGAAUAGGGAUCUUGCCUCUGCUUUUCUCUUUGCAGUCCUUACAGCCUGUUACCCACCUGUGCUUUAUUUUUCUAUCAUAUUGAGUUAUUUGAUGUUCCUAUGUUUUUCGAUUGUCAUAGUUUCCCAACCCUGGAACUUAGCACAUUCUGUGUCUUUUACCUGGGGUGCCUGUUAACCCUGCUCUUAGUUUCUCCACUGCGGGUGCACGUGCAUGUGUGCGCACACACACACAUGCACACACACAGAGGACAAGUGUCUUUUUCGCCUCCACGGUACCUGAUGUGCAUUUGUCAGAACAUAUGCCACAUUGUUUUGCCAGUUUUUGUCUCCCUGCUGGACUGAGCUCGAUGGGGUCAGAAUCUGCUUUUUCUCUUUCUCUCGCCAGCAGCAAGCCCAAUGCCGGGCUCAAAAUCAGCAUCCAAACAAGGAGUGACUGAUGCCAAACAACCUUGGGUAAGUUGGCAGUUGAGCUAGGUUACAGUAGGUUUGUAUUUGUAUGAGAUUGGACAAAUGCGUCCCGCUAGCAGCUUCACGCUGGCAAGGUGGCCAAGCAGCUGAAACUGCCGGCGGUAUGUCGGAGACCGCGGUGGGCCUGGGACCGCGGGACUGCUCAGGGAUUCUCUGCUGUGUCUGUACCAGUUCUCGGGCCAGAAAGCCAAGAGACGCCUACAACAGCUGUUUCUGUGAGACUUGGGGCCACAGUGUUGAGUUCAGUGGACGUGGCAAAGCAGGUGCAGUUUGUGCAUCGGCUUCCUUCCCUGUGGAGCUGGGGGCCCAGCUGAGGCAUGGGCCGGAGGCGCGGUGGCACAAAGACUGAAGGGGGGGGUGGGAGGAAGGAGAGGGGGUUGUAAGGCAGCUAUCAGAAUCCUGACAGUAUAAAAUGGGUGUUCUGGAAUUGCACUGCCUGUGUGUGAACCUGCCUCGGCCACUCCUCUUCCUAAGCCGUGUAACCUUGGACAAUUUCCAUAAUUCCCUGAGCCUUAGUUUUCCCAUCUGUAAACUGGAGGUCUAGUUUAUCUACUGUAGACUAGGUCUAGAGAACCUGUGUCAUGGGGUUUUAAUGAAGCUGGAAUAAAAUAAAUGCUCAAUAAAUGUUAGCCACUAUAGUAUUGUCUAUUGACAGGUUGUGAAAAGGACAGAUUGUGAGAAGGUCCCUGAGCUCAGAGACCAUGCCCAUAUUAUUCACUGUGUGUCUCCAGCACUUGGCACGUAAACACAGGCUGUGUAGCAGAUGGUUGUUGAAUUACUAAAUGAGGGUGGCCAGGGGAGAAUUUUUUAGAGGUCUCUCAGUAUUGUGGCUUUUCCUAGAAUGUCUUUCAGACGAAGCCAUUUCGAUUGUACUUUGUGAUGCCUGGGCUGAGUUUUCUCAGCAUAUUUUGUGCCACGUCGACUCUACUAAGAAACAAGUAUAAAUCCUAGCAUGAGUGGGUCUCCUGUGAGGAAGGGGCUGGUACCAUGUCCACAUUUGAAUCCCCCAAGACAAUGCCAGCAGUACAUCAGAAAAUGAAGUUUCUUUCUGAACAUUUAUUCCACAGUCAUAGAAACUGAAGAUGGAAAAGACCUGAGAACAUCUAGUCCAUCCAUGUGGUUGUACAAGAAAAGUGGCUGGAGCAAAACAGCCUGUUCACUUCAUGCUCACAAGACAGCAUUUCAGUUCUUCCUGGACUGGAGCGAUUGCACACACGUUAAAAUGAAGACACAAUGCAAACACUCUUUACAAACCUUAAGAAAAUACCUCUAAGUACAUUAUUUUCAUAAAACGAUUGGGAACUAAGCAAAAAAGAGGGAGGGACUCCUGGAUUAGAUGGGAGGCGUAGGUAGGUGAAAAAAGGAGUAUCUCAACAGUGCAGCUAGUGGAGUGGUUUUGAUGACUAAAACACAAGUUCUUUCCAUGACUGGUUGGAUUUUCUGGUUUGCUUAUCAAAAAUGAGUUGGGAGGAGAGAGGCUCUAAAGUAGUUUCUUUUGCCUUCAUUCUUUAUCCACGCCAAGGAAGUGCUUAUUAGCUCCAAGGCCCUAUUAGACCCAGCGCCAACACCGAGAAGCCCACUGCCCCGAUGUAGCUGGGUUUUACUUGGCAGUUGCUUCACUGACCGCUUCUCUGGUUGGCACAGAAGCAGCUCCUGCAGAGGGUUUGUGCAACAGCAAGAUCCAUGAAUGAUGGAAUCACCUCCAGGCACGUUAAAGACCUCAACUGAUUGUGUCCCUGUGGCUGCCUCACUUGGCUGUCCCAUUUUUCCAACUCAUCUUUUAAUAGUUGGAGGGAUCCCCUUGCUGCUCCUCUACCUCGAGGCAUCCGCACUCUGGGGCCCUUGGUAUUAUUUACAUGAAGCACGUAGCCUAUCUGUUCCUGCUCACACCCGCCAUAUUGUAUUGUGUGCUUCUUGUGCCAGGAACUUCCCCACCUUGGAAAACAGGGUGGGGUGUGCGACACAAUCAGGUUGUCCGGCUGCCCAGCACCAGAGUUUGGAAAAGAAUGGACCUUCCUGAUCUCAUGAAAUAGGAGUCCGGACGAGGAGGCAAGGGAGCAAUCCCUUACCUCUUUCUUCCUCACUAAAAUACCAUCCUCCACCUGAAGACUUUGAUCUUUGUGGUUUUUGAGCCCGAGGGGAGUUGAAAGAACAGGUGGAGCAGAACAGAAAGGAGGGUUUUCAAAGGACCCACCAUUUCAUGAACUUUUUUUUAUAAAACACAACACACUUUCACAGACUGCAAAACACUGUUCAGUUACUACCGAUAAUGACAACCACCGCUACUUGGGGCCGCUUCGUUCCACCACAAGCAGCUAUGCGGUUCCUCUUCAUCCAGAACACGGAGGCAUUUCAAGCGAUGCCCACGGCAGCAAGCCUGCUUUCAGCCCCUGCUGCUGCUGGCCACCCCCUGGCCAUCCACUUUGUGGGUAGGCAGGACCCUGCGGCUGCUACCACCGCUCAGAACGCCUUAGGAGAGAAGCUUAAGCUCUGUUUUCCUGCUCACAGCCAGCUGCAGCUCCUGACGGAUCACCUGAAUCUGCUUCUCAAGCUCUGAGAGUUCCUGCAUCACUGAGUUCCGAGCUCCAUUUAGGGAGUCUGCCUUCCCGUUGGUGGUCAGCGAGGCAGGGAGCUCUCUUCUCCUUGGAGGGAGCGGGAUGUCCUGGUGGGUCCGGAUGCUCAGCUGGUUUUGUCCUCCCUCAUCACUAAAGAUGUAUUUUCGUCGGUUAUCCUGACUCAGAUUGGAAGUAUUCCACACAGUGAGCUGACGGGGUCCCACACUGGCCCUAGGAAACAAAGACACUUUAGAUUUACCUUCCAUUCUGCGGCUCUCAAAGUGCUGCUCCCCAGCUGUUGGCCAUUUCAAACUGUGAAUAUGGAACUGGACAUGCAUUCAGAAGACAGAUUGCCACGGACAGACUGCCUGUUGGAGUGGCAUAGGGACAAAAAGAGCCAUUACAAUUCUUUUCAACUGAAGUUCUUACCAAGACUUAAGCUGCCCUGAAAUUGGAAUGGAUGUAUCAUCUGGAGGGCUGAUGGACCAGGGUGUGGCGUAUUCUUUUUUGAAGAACCUUGGAUGUCUUUCCACUCCCAUCCUGCCAGUGAGGCUCAGAGCACAGCACCGGCUUGAAGCAUUCUCUGGCUACAAAGAUGGUGCUUUAGUAAAAGUGAGAGCCUAUUUGUUCACCUGUUGGGCUCUAAGCAUAAGCCGGCUGGUAGAUACUAUAAAACGGGUCAUGCUCAAUCCCACAGGACUACCUGAAGUUUACUGCUUGAGUUUGAGGAGAAUAAAAACAUACAAGCUGAAGGUUUCAGCAAAAAGUUUUCCAUUAUAGGGAUGAUUUUAUGUGGGUCGAGAAUGACAGCUCAGGUCUGAAGCUUUAAAAGAAACCCCAAGAAAGCCUCAAAUUCUUGCUGGAAUAAUGAAAGUCAAUAGAAACAGAUUCACAGUCCUCUUUCAGGCUUGCGUCAAACCACCUGCUACCAUCUCAGGGAGAUGGCUGUAGAGAGCAAGACUUAACUGCCGGACAGGCACAAGAGGAGGGGAUUUGGUGCCUGAAAGGAACUCUGACAGUCAGAUGUAAUGAGAAGAGUUUCUUGCUACAAGAACAGACUAGAGCCCCAAGCAGCAUAGCUGCGGAUUUCUUCUAGCCUUGUUGGAGGAGGUGGAGGGUUAUGAACACUUCUGCAAUCCACCACAGGGCAAACCUACAGAGAAACACUCUAUUAAGUCCUUGUGUUUCUGUUCCCAUCCAUGUCACUAAAUCAAAACUUUA
This is a non-coding RNA of Callorhinus ursinus (northern fur seal), 5178 nucleotides long. Lineage: Eukaryota; Metazoa; Chordata; Mammalia; Carnivora; Otariidae. The record is from RefSeq and is a predicted model, not a curated record.